AAGUCGUAACAAGGUUUCCGUAGGUGAACCUGCGGAAGGAUCAUUAUUGAAUAAAACUGGCGAGUUGUCGCUGGCUCCUAGGAGCAUGUGCACGCUCGUCAUCUUUACCCAUCCACCUGUGCACCAUGUGUAGGCUUUGAGUGAGAAUGUGUUGUGGCCGAGAGGCUGCAAAAUGUCAAUCUCGGGCCUAUGUCUUUUUCAUAUACCACGCAGUAUGUCACAGAAUGUAUUUGAUGGGCCUCUGUGCCUAUAAAAACCAAUACAACUUUCAGCAACGGAUCUCUUGGCUCUCGCAUCGAUGAAGAACGCAGCGAAAUGCGAUAAGUAAUGUGAAUUGCAGAAUUCAGUGAAUCAUCGAAUCUUUGAACGCACCUUGCGCUCCUUGGUAUUCCGAGGAGCAUGCCUGUUUGAGUGUCAUUAUAUUCUCAACCCUUUCAGCUUUGCUGAUUAGUGGAUUGGAUUGUGGGGGUUAUGCCUGCCGGCCUUCUCUAUUGAGGUCAGCUCCCCUGAAAUGCAUUAGCGGAACGGUUUGCGAUCCCGUCACUGGUGUGAUAAUUAUCUGCGCCGCGACGAGGGCCGCUCUCUGUCUGUUCAGCUUACAAUUAGUCCCCGGUUGGUGGACAACUAUUGAACGUUUGACCUCAAAUCAGGUAGGAUUACCCGCUGAACUUA
RNAcentral lists this ribosomal RNA (672 nucleotides) under uncultured fungus. RNAcentral describes it as "eukaryotic LSU rRNA". The stretch from base 264 to 417 matches the Rfam family "5.8S ribosomal RNA". The record is from RNAcentral. Lineage: Eukaryota; Fungi.